AUUCCGUGGUGUGGGCAUGCUGCAAUGUAAUCCUAGAGAUGUUCCCAGGCUUUUGGGUUUGUCUCAUCCUAGUGUUGUUGAAAACUGGAAAUCCUGUUUCGAAGGGC
Small nucleolar RNA from Panicum hallii, 107 nucleotides. Lineage: Eukaryota; Viridiplantae; Streptophyta; Magnoliopsida; Poales; Poaceae. The record is from RefSeq and is a predicted model, not a curated record.